RNA transcript from Cucurbita maxima (winter squash), 1057 nucleotides. It is a transcript of the gene named homologous-pairing protein 2 homolog, with no coding region annotated. The record is from RefSeq and is a predicted model, not a curated record. The transcript is spliced from 8 exons. NCBI's taxonomy places the organism in Eukaryota, Viridiplantae, Streptophyta, Magnoliopsida, Cucurbitales, Cucurbitaceae.
GUAGGCUUCCACAAGAAGAAAGGGAAAGCACUUUCCCGCCCAUUUCUCUGCACUUCACCCAUCAAUGGCUCCCAAAUCCGAUAGCGCAGAAGCGAUCGUGCUCAACUUCGUUAACGAGCAAAAUCGUCCACUAAACUCUCAAAAUGUUGCUGAUUCAUUACAAAAAUUCAACCUCAAGAAGACGGGGGUGCAAAAGGCACUGGAUGCCCUUGCCGAUAGUGGACGAAUUUCUUUCAAGGAGUAUGGCAAGCAGAAGAUAUAUCUCGCCCGGCAAGACCAAUUCAAGAUCCCAAACAGCGAGGAACUUACUCAAAUGAAGGAAGCAAACGCCAAACUGCAGCAACAUCUAGCCGAGCAAAAAAAGGCUAUUACCCAGGUGGAGGAAGAAAUUCGAACGUUGCAGUCAAACUUAACGCUGAAAGAAAUGCGGGAAAAGGAAGCUAUGCUGAGAAAGGAGGUUAAGGAAUUGGAAGAAAAAUUGGAAACAUUACGCGGAGGUGUUACGUUGGUGAGCCCAGAAGACCGCAAAGCAAUCGAGCAGAUUUACUCUGAGAAACUAGGCCAGUGGCGAAAGCGAAAAAGGAUGUUUAAAGAUAUAUGGGAUGUUAUCACUGAGAACUCACCUAAGAAUCUAAAAGAAUUUAAGGAAGAACUUGGCAUUGAGUACGAUGAAGAUGUGGGCGUGAAUUUGCAGUCAUUCAGCGACAUGUUACCACAAAAUCGAAAACGGCCCAGGGGAAAGUGAGUGAUAACAUAAAAUGGGGCGUCCAAGUAGAGCAAAUGCAGGUUUCACUUUCGAGGAAAAUAAGGAAUCGGUGUUCCAUGCCAGAGACAGGUUAGAUGAAGAGAAUACUAAGAUUACGAUUAUACCACCAUCGUCAAGUAGAUUAUGAGUUGAAGCACAAAUGCUUUAGUUUGGGUAGCUUGCUUCUAUCUGACACAUGUUAGAGGCUAAGACACUUCACCACUUGUCAAACAUGUAUGGGAUGUUUUUUUUAAUGCAAUAGAUGUGUUAAACACAUUAGUUGUACAAACAUAUAUGCUUGUUGAGUUUGAA